GAACGCUGCGGCGUGGAUAAGACAUGCAAGUCGAACGAAAACACUAAUUAGUUUACUAAGCGGUGUUUUAGUGGCGGACGGGUUAGUAACACGUGAGUAACAUGCCUUGAAGUGGGGGAUAGCCUUUCGAAAGGAAGAUUAAUACCGCAUGUGGUCUUCGGACCAAAGAUGCCUUCGGGUGUCGCUUUAAGAUUGGCUCGCGGCCUAUCAGUUAGUUGGUGAGGUAACGGCUCACCAAGACAACGACGGGUAGCUGUUCUGAGAGGAAGAUCAGCAACACUGGAACUGAGACACGGUCCAGACACCUACGGGUGGCAGCAGUCGAGAAUCAUUCACAAUGGACGAAAGUCUGAUGGUGCAACGCCGCGUGGAGGAUGAAGGCCCUAGGGUCGUAAACUCCUGUCAUAUAAGAGUAAGGCAUAACAACUUAAUAUCUGUUAUGUUUGAUAGUAUUAUAAGAGGAAGGGACGGCUAACUUCGUGCCAGCAGCCGCGGUAAUACGAAGGUCCCGAGCGUUAUUCGGAAUCACUGGGCGUAAAGAGUACGUAGGCGGUCAGGUAAGUCAGGUGUGAAAUCCCGGAGCUCAACUCCGGAACUGCAUCCGAUACUGCUUGACUUGAGUAAUGGAGAGGCAGGUGGAAUUCUCGGUGUAGCAGUGAAAUGCGUGGAUAUCGAGAGGAAGACCAAUGGCGAAAGCAGCCUGCUGGACAUUUACUGACGCUGAGGUACGAAGGCUAGGGUAGCGAAAGGGAUUAGAUACCCCUGUAGUCCUAGCAGUAAACGGUGCGCGCUUGGUGUAGGAGGACUCGACCCCUUCUGUGCCGGAGCUAACGCGUUAAGCGCGCCGCCUGGGGAGUACGGUCGCAAGACUAAAACUCAAAUGAAUUGACGG
Molecule: ribosomal RNA, 892 nt
Filed under: uncultured bacterium
Lineage: Bacteria
Description: bacterial SSU rRNA
Rfam family: Bacterial small subunit ribosomal RNA
Source: RNAcentral